RNAcentral lists this ribosomal RNA (835 nucleotides) under Enterococcus hirae ATCC 9790. RNAcentral's name for it is "bacterial SSU rRNA". It matches the Rfam family "Bacterial small subunit ribosomal RNA", at positions 8 to 814 of the family's 1533-position model. Lineage: Bacteria; Bacillati; Bacillota; Bacilli; Lactobacillales; Enterococcaceae. The record is from RNAcentral.
AGAGUUUGAUCCUGGCUCAGGACGAACGCUGGCGGCGUGCCUAAUACAUGCAAGUCGAACGCUUCUUUUUCCACCGGAGCUUGCUCCAUCGGAAAAAGAGGAGUGGCGAACGGGUGAGUAACACGUGGGUAACCUGCCCAUCAGAAGGGGAUAACACUUGGAAACAGGUGCUAAUACCGUAUAACAAUCGAAACCACAUGGUUUUGAUUUGAAAGGCGCUUUCGGGUGUCGCUGAUGGAUGGACCCGCGGUGCAUUAGCUAGUUGGUGAGGUAACGGCUCACCAAGGCGACGAUGCAUAGCCGACCUGAGAGGGUGAUCGGCCACAUUGGGACUGAGACACGGCCCAAACUCCUACGGGAGGCAGCAGUAGGGAAUCUUCGGCAAUGGACGAAAGUCUGACCGAGCAACGCCGCGUGAGUGAAGAAGGUUUUCGGAUCGUAAAACUCUGUUGUUAGAGAAGAACAAGGAUGAGAGUAACUGUUCAUCCCUUGACGGUAUCUAACCAGAAAGCCACGGCUAACUACGUGCCAGCAGCCGCGGUAAUACGUAGGUGGCAAGCGUUGUCCGGAUUUAUUGGGCGUAAAGCGAGCGCAGGCGGUUUCUUAAGUCUGAUGUGAAAGCCCCCGGCUCAACCGGGGAGGGUCAUUGGAAACUGGGAGACUUGAGUGCAGAAGAGGAGAGUGGAAUUCCAUGUGUAGCGGUGAAAUGCGUAGAUAUAUGGAGGAACACCAGUGGCGAAGGCGGCUCUCUGGUCUGUAACUGACGCUGAGGCUCGAAAGCGUGGGGAGCAAACAGGAUUAGAUACCCUGGUAGUCCACGCCGUAAACGAUGAGU